RNAcentral lists this unclassified non-coding RNA (279 nucleotides) under Hevea brasiliensis (rubber tree). The record is from RNAcentral. Lineage: Eukaryota; Viridiplantae; Streptophyta; Magnoliopsida; Malpighiales; Euphorbiaceae.
GUUGGUAAGGAAAGACCAGUACAUGAAUCUGAUAUGAAUAACUUGGUUUACCUUAAAGCCAUCAUCAAGGAAACGCUGCGAUUAUACCCUGCCGGACCACUUUCUGUGCCGCAUGAGUCCAUGGAGGACUGCUCUGUAGCUGGCUACCAUAUUCCAGCAGGCACAAGACUCCUCGUUAAUCUUACCAAGAUUCAUCGUGAUCCUAGGGUGUGGUCUAACCCUUCUGAGUUCCAACCAGAACGAUUUCUUACAAUUCACAAAGAUUAUGAUAUUAGGGGC